This 253-nucleotide ribosomal RNA is filed under the name uncultured bacterium. Its description in RNAcentral is "partial 16S ribosomal RNA". It matches the Rfam family "Bacterial small subunit ribosomal RNA", at positions 524 to 776 of the family's 1533-position model. The record is from RNAcentral.
UACGAGGGGGGCUAGCGUUGUUCGGAAUUACUGGGCGUAAAGCGCGCGCAGGCGGUCUUCCAAGUCAGUGGUGAAAGCCCGGAGCUCAACUCCGGAACUGCCAUUGAAACUGUAAGACUUGAGGAUGAGAGAGGUGAGUGGAAUUCCCAGUGUAGAGGUGAAAUUCGUAGAUAUUGGGAAGAACACCGGUGGCGAAGGCGGCUCACUGGCUCAUAUCUGACGCUCAGGCGCGACAGCGUGGGGAUCAAACAGG